RNAcentral lists this ribosomal RNA (600 nucleotides) under Triticum aestivum (bread wheat). RNAcentral describes it as "partial small subunit ribosomal RNA". Lineage: Eukaryota; Viridiplantae; Streptophyta; Magnoliopsida; Poales; Poaceae. The record is from RNAcentral.
AUGGCCAUGGAGGCCGACGACGACGACCUGUGGGGCGCGGUCACCACCAGCCCCAGCGCCUCGCCCCCGCCGCCCUCCUCAUCCGCCGCCGCCAUCUCCACCGCGCUCAGCCUCAACACCCGCCUGCAGCUGCUCGCGGCCUCCGGCGUCGGCGGCUCCCCGUUCCACCCCGGCGGCGUCGGCGUCGGCUCGCCGUUGCACCCGGGCGGCGGCUGCUACCGCAAUGCGGCCGCGUCCCCGACCUCCUUCUUCUCCUCCGCGGCGGCCUCCUUCCCCCGCAUCGCGCCCGACGCCGGCCCCGCGCGCCGCGCGCUCGAGCGCGAGAUGUGCUACGGCCACGGCGCCGCCGCCUGGCCCGGCCCCCCCGCCGCCGCCGCGCCCGUGGACCGGCGCAAGAAGCGCAUGAUCAAGAACCGCGAGUCGGCGUCCCGGUCGCGCGCGCGCAAGCAGGCCCACGUCACCCAGAUCGAGUCGGAGGUGCACCAGCUGCGCGAGGAGAACGAGCAGCUCCGCCUCAAGUACGACCAGCUCAAGGCUUCAGUGGAGGUGUCGGUGCCGGUGAGGAAGACCCUGCAGAGGGUGCUCUCGGCGCCCUUCUGA